AUUUUCAAAGGAAAACCAAAAAUAAAAAACUAUACCUAAACAUCAACUAACCCUCAAUUCCAAACUAAUUGUUGUUUAUUUUCAGAGGAUUUAUCAGAGCUUGACUAUCUUAAGCUGACAUCGACCUAUAAGCCGAUCAUUUAUAAGGGUUCGAGACUGACUAUGCUUUGCACAUUGAAGAGUUAAACCCAACAACAACAACAACAACAACCACAAGAAAAAACCAGAAAAUCCCACAAGUGGGUUCCGAGGAACGAAGAGUUAAAACCAAAAUAAUAAAAAGAAUAAAAAAUAUAAAAAUAUGAGUAUUCAAGCCCAUCAGCAAUCUAAUGUUUCUAUAUCAGCUUAUAAAAGAUAACAUAAGCAAUUAGGUAAAAUGAAGAACUAAACUUGUUUAUAACUUUUAACUUCAUUUCUUCAAUUUUGAGUUCAGUAAACCAACAUUAUCCUUCAACUUUCCACAUACUUUACAAGAAACAAAUACCCAAUAUUACAGAGCUUCAACUACAAUUCUCUUCAAUUUUAACAUAGGUAAUUAGGUCAAAAACAAAGAACUAAACUUAUUUAGGUUUAGUGUUAUUUUCUUCAAUUAAUUCCCACAAUUGUUCAACAAAAUCAAUUACCCAAUUCAAUACAGAAGUUUCAACUUCAGCAACAGUAAAUAAAUCCAACUUACACCUCACAUCAAAAAGCGUUGAAUCUAACAAUAAAGAAAGAACUAGGGAAGAAGGCUUACAGAAGUGAGAUCCAACAUAGAAGAGCGAGGAAGAUGAGUUGACCUUUGAAUUAGCUAAAGUUUUAAGGAUUGCCCAAUUGAUGAUGUUAUCCUCUGCUACUACUGGCUGAGCUUAUACCUUUGUUUGUUG
This 866-nucleotide long non-coding RNA is filed under the name Nicotiana benthamiana. RNAcentral describes it as "long non-coding RNA (NBEN_LNC010586)". The record is from RNAcentral. Lineage: Eukaryota; Viridiplantae; Streptophyta; Magnoliopsida; Solanales; Solanaceae.